AAGCAAGAAUAACAGACUAUGGCAUUGUUCCAGAGAUUUUGACAAUUCACAAACAAAGUUGAUUUUGUGUACUGUCCUUGCUUAAUGGCGUGGCGGUUGCACAACAGGACCCCACCUGAACUUGCAGAAAAGAAGGGCAGAAAUAAUUAGUUGCAAAGUGGGUGAGGAACCUGGUUUGCAUCAGUAAGAAAAUGAUCCAUCAUAGUAUUUCAAGAGACUAGGACAGUUAGGAAGAACAUUAUGUCUAGCCAGCAACUACAGAUAGACAACCCCUACAAGAGCAGUAGAAAGCUAAUAAUUUGAAAACAAAUCCAGACUACGUGCUGUUCGCACAUGGGAGUAGCAGAUCUGUUUCCGAGUAUAGCCAUAUUAUAUAUGUACUAGACAGGCAUGAUUGCCAUAAGGUGACAGAUCUCCAUUAAUAUUACCAGGUAAUCAAGUUUUAUGUAAGUGGGAUCAUGCUUACGACUAUGGAUUCAAAUCCAAACGUUAAUAAGAUGGUUACCACCAGAAAAUGAUGAGUGAACAAAUCCUUAAUAACAUUUAUUUAAAAGUUUAUCUAUGAGUUGAAAUCGAUGAAUAAUAAUUACGAGCAGGAACCUAAUGACUCCAGGCAAUAACUGAUCAGGAACCGUCAAAUCCAAAGGUUGUGUUCAUAUUGAUCAAAUCAAGUCGCCUAUGCAAAUACCGAUUACCAGUCAUGCACCUAUGAUUUUUCUACCCACUAAAUCUUGGCAUGGGACUAAGAUAGUUCAGUUUUGCUCAAGAGUUCAUUGGUUCAUGCCUUCCCUACGGUAUGUUGUUUUUACUUUUAGUCCAGGUUUUUUUUAAGAGAUUCCUGUUAUGUAUGUACUUGUUCUACAUGGUUAGAUAGAUACCCUCAAAAUUCAGGGACAUAUAAGGAGGUCCUCUUAUUAGUUGUAGCUUUUGUGCGCGGUAGUUGCAAUCAUUAGGUAUUAGCUCUAUGUAAGGAGGUCCUCUUGUACUCAUUCGAAUUAAGUAGGGAAUAAACUGAUGUAAUCUCUGCUGUAAAAACAAAACUGAUAUAAUCCCGGUUCUUUUCUCCGAGUCUUCCUCUGCCCCUGAAGCACGGCUUCCAUCAAGGUGCUGUGGUGCCUCUUGCGGUUUAGGUUAGUUAUAUCCUACCACGCACCAUAACACCUCCCCAUAAUAGAUAUAAGGUUUCCCUUAUUAAGCUAACAAAUCUCAAGGAUUGAACAAACAAAGAGAAGUAUUCAGAGAAGGGAUUGGAUAAACCAUAAAGUUUCGUGUACCUGAUAAGAUAGCUGAAGUUGCAAAUUGCCAGUGAAAACAAGGUCGAAUGUCUACAGGACGGAUGAUACAUCAUUGGCAGUGUA
Molecule: long non-coding RNA, 1358 nt
Filed under: Triticum aestivum (bread wheat)
Lineage: Eukaryota; Viridiplantae; Streptophyta; Magnoliopsida; Poales; Poaceae
Description: long non-coding RNA (TAES_LNC028192)
Source: RNAcentral